Molecule: ribosomal RNA, 403 nt
Filed under: uncultured bacterium
Lineage: Bacteria
Description: partial 16S ribosomal RNA
Rfam family: Bacterial small subunit ribosomal RNA
Source: RNAcentral
AUUGAACGCUGCCGGCAGGCCUAACACAUGCACGUCGAGCGAGCGGCGGACGGGUGAGUAAUGUAUGGGGACUGCCCGAUAGAGGGGGAUAACUACUGGAAACGGUAGCUAAUACCGCAUACUAUCGGAUAACCCAUAUGGGAUUAGCUAGUAGGUGAGGUAAUGGCUCACCUAGGCGACGAUCCCUAGCUGGUCUGAGAGGAUGAUCAGCCACCCUGGGACUGGGACACGGCCCAGACUCCUACGGAGGCAGCAGUGGGGAAUAUUGCACAAUGGGCGCAAGCCUGAUGCAGCCAUUCCGCGUGUAUGAAGAAGGCCCUAGGGUUGUAAAGUACUUUCAGUCGGGUGGCGUUGCCGGCAGAAGAAGCACCGGCUAACUCCGUGCCAGCAGCCGCGGUAAUUC